RNAcentral lists this ribosomal RNA (280 nucleotides) under Methanothrix soehngenii. RNAcentral's name for it is "partial 16S ribosomal RNA". Lineage: Archaea; Methanobacteriati; Methanobacteriota; Methanomicrobia; Methanotrichales; Methanotrichaceae. The record is from RNAcentral.
GGGUGGGUUACAACCCACGAUCUGGACUACGAUCGGAUUUCGAGAUUGCCUUCACCUUUCGGUGUCGGAUCCCAUUGUCCCGACCUUUGUAGCGCGCGUGUAGCCCGGGAGAUUCGGGGCAUACGGACCUAUCGUUGCCCCCUCCUUCCUCUGACUUAGCGCCAGCGGUACCCUUAAUGUUCCCCACCCCCGGAGGGAUGGCUGGCAAUUAAGGGGCAGGGGGUCUUGUUCCGUNAUCUGGACUUAACAGAACCGCCUUAACGGGUACGAAACCUGAACC